Molecule: long non-coding RNA, 4361 nt
Filed under: Sus scrofa (pig)
Lineage: Eukaryota; Metazoa; Chordata; Mammalia; Artiodactyla; Suidae
Description: lncRNA (ENSSSCG00060029800.1)
Source: RNAcentral
UUUUCUUUUUUCUUUUUUUUUUUUUUUUUUUUUUUUUUUUGUCUUUUUGCAAUUUCUUUGGGCCCCUCCUGCGGCACAUGGAGGUUCCCAGGCUAGGGAUCAGAAAUAAUUAAAUCCAAGCAUCCAGAUCCUGGUUUUUAACACCAUUCUCUAAUAAAUGGAACUGGGCAUGGAGAAGUGGCUGAUUGUAGGACUAGGCCAGAAAGUAUACUAGACGAUCCUGAAACAUCUUAGAGAGCCAAACAGUAAGUAAGUGCUUCCAGCAGUCAAAGCUAGACUAGUUUGAGCAGUAAAAUAACAUAGUAUUGUAUUAUACCCCAGAGUAUAAAAUGGAUAUCCGUAAGUCCGUACUGACACAAAUUAAUGCUUGAAUAAACAAAUAAGAGACAAUAGACAAAUCUCCCAUAUAGAAGAAUUCCAAAUAAUUACCUAGAGAAAUCCCUUCAAGGAGAUGGAAAAUAUCUCCCUUACACCCCUUAAGUGUAACCACCUUCCAAAAAGUAGAGAGGAGGAAUAUGGCUUAGACUGCCUUAGCCAGGUAGGUAUUCAAGGUCAACAUCAACAGUGACAAGUCAUGUUGAUAUUAUGUACCUCUGAUACGAUAUAAUGAAAUGGCACUUUACCUCUGUGGUUGCCUUGAAACCCAUAACCAUCAACCUAGUUUAAUCAUCAGAAAAAUACACAAAAUAUUUGAUCAGUACUCUUUAAAACUGUCAAGGCUGGAGUUCUCACCAGUGGGUUAAGAAUCCCACUGCAGGGAGUUCCAGUUGUGACUCAGCAGGUUAAGAAUCUGACCAGUAUCUGUGAGGAUGCAGGUUUGAUCCCUGGUCUUGCUCAGUAGGUUCAGGAUCCGGCAUUGCCACAAGUGUGGUGUAGGUCCAGAUGUGGCUCAGAUCCUCCAUUGCUAUGGCUGUGGUGUAUCCUGGCAGCUGCAGCUGCAAUUUGACCCCUAGCUUGGCAACUUUCAUAUAAUGCAGGUUCACCCCCACCCCACCCCCAAAAAAAUCUGACUGCAAUGGCUCAGGUCCCUGUGGAUGUGCCAGUUUAAUCCCUGGCCUGGUGCAGUGGGUUAAAGGUGCCCGCAUUGCCAAAGCUGCGGCUUGGAUUCAGUCUCUGGCCAGGGAACUUUAUUAUGCCACAAGUGUGGGCUUAAAAACAAAUAAACAAAAAAAUUUCAGGCCGUCAAAAACAAGGUAUAUCUGAGGAAUUGAAAGGAGUCUACAGAGAUAUAUAAAUAACAACCAGAUGUAAUGAGAUACCCUGGUGGGACCUUGGAAUAAAAAAAGGACAUUUGGUAAAAACUAAGCUAUUCUGAAUGAAGUAUGGACCCCCAGUACUAAUCUCUCAAUGAUGGUUCAUCAAUUGUGACAAACAUACCAUUUAAUAGAAAAUGUUAAUAAUAAGAGAAACCAGGUACAGGGCAUACAGAAAUUCUCUAUACUAUCCUUAAGAACUUUUCUGUAAAUUCAAAAUAAUUCUAAAAUAAAAGGUUUAUUUAAAAAACAAAACCAAAAUGUGUAUCAGCAGUUUUAUAUGAUUCAACAUAAUACUUAUAGGAUCGUUGUGAAAAUUAAAGUAGAAAAUAUGUGUAAAUCACUUAACACGGUGUUUGAUUCAGAAGUGUUCAAUAGGAGUUCCUGUUGUGGCUCAGUGAUGAACAAAUCCGACUAAGAACCAUGAGGUUGUGGGUUCGGUCCCUGCCCUUGCUCAGUGGGUUAAGGAUCCGGGGUUGCCAUGAGCUGUGGUGUAGGUCGCAGACGCAGCUUGGAUCCUGCAUUGCUGUGGCUCUGGUAUAGGCCGGUGGCUACAGCUCCGAUUGGACUCCUAGCCUGGGAACCUCCAUAUGCUGCGGAAGCAGCACAAGAAAUGGCAAAAAGACAAAAAAAAAAAAAAAGAAAUGUUCAAUAAAUGGUAGUUUUUAUGAGGAUGACUCUUAUCAUUGUUAUUUCAGACAGAAUAAUUGAAGAUUGAAGUGAGGGGAAGGUGACAUUUGUUUAUUCAGUACUUGCUAUAUGCCAAGUACUCAGCUAACUAGUGGAGAUUUAGCUGUGGACAUGAUACAUACAGCUCCUGGUCUCCUAUAAAUUUUGGAUAGAGGGACAACAGAGAGAAGCCAUAACUAAUAGUUUGUGAUGGAGGAAAAGGCAUAAAAACUUUAAAAAAUAAGAUAAACUUUACAGAAAUAUAAAGGCACAGGAACUCAUAUACAGGACGAAAAUACACUACUCACCUUAGUAAACUCUGGAGGCUCCUCUGGGUGUGUUUUAUCUCUAGGUAAGCUGAUUUUUAUUGUGGUAAACUGGAGUCUUCAAGGGAAAGUAAUGAGAUUUUUCAUAUACUGUGUUUAAUUAGUAAGUGAAAUAUGUAGCAAAAAAUUUAAAGGAGUAACUUAUUUGAAAAAUCUGUUAUGUAGGAAACCUCAUUCCUUCUAUCAUUCUGCUUUUUAUUGUUUCUUAAAACACAUUUUUAGUCUUCUCCCUACUUCCAUCUUUUAAAAAGUCAGCCCUCACAUAAUUUCAUCCUUUAAUGAGGUUGUGUGGUAGCAUAGCACUGUUCCUUACUAGCCUGCUCUCUGUCCCAAAUACCCAGAUGCUUUGUCCUUUCCGAAUUAGUUUUUCCACAACUAUUUGAUGAUCUUUACUUCAGGCCUUCUUCUCUUAGCAAUGGAUCACCUAAGGCCUUUGGGAUGAAUAUAGAAGCCCAGCUUAUUCAAUAUGCCAGAAAAUAAAGCCACCUCAAAUCUAAGACAAUACUCUAUUUCCUUAAUAUUAGUUUAAAAAAAAAAGGAAAAAGGGAUUUUUUUAGGCUAAUAUCAAUAUGUAACAUUUAAGGCUUGUACUUGAAAUAAGGAAAUUUCUUCUGAGGAUUUUAAUUUUUCAAUUUAGUUGCAUAUUUUUAAAAUAACAUUACAUGACAUAUUUUAAUUUAUAAAUUCUUCAUUUCCCUACUCACGUUUCAUUAGACAGUUGAAUUCAAACUUCUCACAGAGUUUAUUGACAUCAGUGACUUUGCCAUCAUGAGCACUAUUAUGGGGAUCAUCUAGUGCUAUUCUCCAGAGCAUCAUGUUUACUUAUAUUUAAGCUCCUUUGGAUACAGCACUUUUCAAAUCCAGGAGUGACUGGAAAUUUUUUCUCACACUAGAUUCUUACUUGAAUAUAUUAAAGCAGAUGGGUUUUGUUUUUUUUUUUUAAUCUCUAGGUUAUACAAUAGCUAUAACUUAACCACUUGCCAUAUUUCUUUUUCAGUGAUCUUUUAAAAGCUUGUUUAUAACCAGAUCCAACACCUACCAUGUUCAGUUCUCCCCCCAGCAAUGUUUAUUAAAUUGGUAGUAAAAUUUUACUUCCUUUUUUAAUGAUUCUACUGGGUCAUCAUUUUCAGCACCCAUAUAUACCAUUGAUUGGGGUUGUUUCAGGCUAAGACGUAGUCACAAAUAUUACUUUGUUGUUCGAAACAGAGAUAAGUGAAUGUCCUCAAUAAGAAACUUUGUCAGUUAUAGGUGACUUCCCCUUUUCUGAAGGAAAUUUUAUUUCACCUUAUAUAGAGACAUAUAUGGAAAUAUAAGUAGGCAGUUGUAAAUAAGAAUAGGUUAUAAACUUAGUAAAUGGAAAUUUGGGCCUUAUAAAUUCUAUAUAGUAGUGGCUUUUAAACUCUAGUGUGCCCUGGAGGGCGUGUUAAAACACAUUGCCUUACUCCUCUGGAGUUUUUGAUUCAGUGGGUCUGUGGUGAGGCUUAAAUAUCUAUAUUUCUCACAAAUUCCAAAUGAUUGAUGAUGAUAUUACAGUUAAGGGACCCUACUUUGAGAAAUAGUGCUCUCUAAAGUAGUUUAAAUUCCGUAGAACAAUAUUUUGCCUCCUUUUACACUACAGGUGUCAUUGUGUGAACAGAUAUCACUGAUUUCAUAAGGAUCUAGAACUGAAAAAGUAAUUGGUUGUUGUAUAAAAUAUUCUUUUAAUGGCAUGGAUUUCCUGUACACUGAAAGAAAAACAAUAAGUCAUUUUUCAAAGCAGCCAUAAACCUUAGUGUCACUUAAAAUCAUUUUAUAGAGUGAAAUCACUGACCUAAAAUAAAAUUAACUGUAAAGUACAAGUAUUUAUUAUCACUAUUUAGUAUUUUCAUAAUAAAGGAAGUUAUUUUCCUUAUCAAAUAAAAUGUUAGAAAUAGUACAUUGCUGUUGGAGAGAAAUAUUGUGAUAUUUAGGAACUGGAUCCAUCUAAAUAGGUGAGAUAAAAGCUGGGCUCUCAUUUUGAGAAUUAGUAUCUCAAGCUUUCCUGAAACCCACUGGGGAGUUUGGAUGUUUUGAGUACUAUCUGCCCUGUCCUCCUUGCUCAGUGCCUUGCAAUAAACACUGCACUUUCCAUUAC